This 447-nucleotide ribosomal RNA is filed under the name uncultured bacterium. Its description in RNAcentral is "SSU rRNA". It matches the Rfam family "Bacterial small subunit ribosomal RNA", at positions 26 to 518 of the family's 1533-position model. The record is from RNAcentral.
AGAGCGAACGCUGGCGGCAGGCCUAAUACAUGCAAGUCGAACGCACCUUCGGGUGAGUGGCGGACGGGUGAGUAACGCGUGGGAACGUACCCUUUGGUUCGGAACAACACAGGGAAACUUGUGCUAAUACCGAAUGUGCCCUUCGGGGGAAAGAUUUAUUGCCAUUGGAGCGGCCCGCGUUGGAUUAGCUAGUUGGUGGGGUAAAGGCCCACCAAGGCUACGAUCCAUAGCUGGUCUGAGAGGAUGAUCAGCCACACUGGGACUGAGACACGGCCCAGACUCCUACGGGAGGCAGCAGUAGGGAAUCUUGCGCAAUGGGCGAAAGCCUGACGCAGCCAUGCCGCGUGAAUGAUGAAGGUCUUAGGAUUGUAAAUUCUUUCACCGGGGACAAGCGAAAGUGACGGUACCUGCAGAAGAAGCGCCGGCUAACUACGUGCCAGCAGCCGC